This 235-nucleotide ribosomal RNA is filed under the name Triticum aestivum (bread wheat). Its description in RNAcentral is "partial small subunit ribosomal RNA". The record is from RNAcentral. Lineage: Eukaryota; Viridiplantae; Streptophyta; Magnoliopsida; Poales; Poaceae.
CUCUGUACGUCGGCGGCGCGAGAUCGCACGAGAUCCGGCUGUGAGAUCGGCGGCGGCGGCUGUGAGAUAGCAUGAGAUUGGGCUGUGAGAUCCGGCUGCGUCGGGCCGGUGGAGUAAUGGGGGCGGCGCCGGAGUGCGAGGAGAGGGAAGGAGAGAGCUCGCAUCGGGAGGGGUGGAUCGAGAGGAUCGGCGGCGCUGUGUGCCUGUGUCCUCGAGGGGAUCGAUAGGUUUUUUU